ACCGAACUUAAUCCUUGCAUUUCAAAUAGUACCGUGCUAUUCUAAGGAAGAAUUAUUUUUGUUCGAUGGCUUUUCAUUAAGUAUCAGAUUUUAUCUGAAGGAUUUGAGCAAGGAUAGUAAUACAAUGUAUGCAUUAGCAUACGAGGAGGAAACACACAUGGAACAAGGUAAAGUAAAAUGGUUUAACUCAGAAAAAGGAUUCGGCUUCAUCGAGCGCGAAGGCGGAGACGACGUAUUCGUACACUUCUCAGCUAUCCAAAGCGAAGGAUUCAAAACUCUUGACGAAGGUCAAGAAGUUACUUUUGACAUCGAGCAAGGCCAACGCGGUCUUCAAGCUACUAACGUAUCAAAAGCUUAAUUAACCCUUAAACUUUCAAUGGACUCUUCUUCGGAAGAGUCCAUUUUU
RNAcentral lists this small RNA (406 nucleotides) under Planococcus rifietoensis. RNAcentral describes it as "cspA thermoregulator". It matches the Rfam family "cspA thermoregulator", at positions 79 to 428 of the family's 428-position model. Lineage: Bacteria; Bacillati; Bacillota; Bacilli; Caryophanales; Caryophanaceae. The record is from Rfam by way of RNAcentral.